Mytilus californianus (California mussel) is the source of this 1469-nucleotide long non-coding RNA. RefSeq lists it as uncharacterized. NCBI's taxonomy places the organism in Eukaryota, Metazoa, Mollusca, Bivalvia, Mytilida, Mytilidae. The transcript has 2 exons. The record is from RefSeq and is a predicted model, not a curated record.
AUAAUAAAAUGAUGUUAUACAGCUGCAAAAAAUAUCUUUAAGUAAAGGCAUCAGACUGACCUAUUAUUCACACAAUUUCCUCCUCUUUUCCUUGAUUGUGGUGCCUGUAGUUGAGCAGGAAUUGCUUACAGUACCUUUUUAAAGCACCUGAGUUCACCCUCCGUUUUUUUUAUAUGGUUGCUCAAUCUAUAGUUUUCAGUGUACUUUUUGUGGACUGUUUAGAUAGCAAGGUAUAGAUUUGUGAAUUUUUUAUGAUUAUCCUAAAGGUGGUUGCCAUGAUUGCACAGUGAAUAAUCCCAAAUGCUUUGAUAAUAUAAAAUCUUUUUCUGACAUCACACACCCUAAAAAAAUAAAAUGAGUAAUUUUUCAUUGCAUUUAUGGACUAAAAUUUCGAUGACAGGGCAACCAUCUUAAUUUCUUUGGUGGGGGGCGGACUUUUUUACAUGGAAUAUUCAUUUUCAUCUGUUGUUAUAUGUUUUCACAUUUGUACACAAUUAUUUUCUCUAUCUUGUAGGGCAGUAGAUACAUUUUCCUUUUGCCAAUACAUAUUCCCUUAAUAACCAUGAAAUUCAGAAAAAAAGAUAACAGCCAUUUAAAAGCACCAAUUAAACACUAAAAGAUCAAUUUAAAAGAUAAUAUAUUCAAAUUGCAUCUUGAUGGCUGUAACAUCCAUCUUUACCAACUCAACCUUUAUAACAUGGUAAUUUAUAGGAAUUUUAUUUAUCUACACUUCUACCUGUAUCAAGUAAACAAAGUUGUUAUAUUCAAUAUAAUUUUCUCUGUUUCUAAUGUAAACAUAGUUUAUAAGUGCUAGCAGUGAAAUCAACCUUGAAGCUUGAGGCAUUCAUUACUAUACAGGCGAGUGGUGAUGAUAAGUGUAUAAGAUUGGUGUGAAGAGGAUUUCCUAUUCAAAUUGUUGUAAAGUUCAGACCUUUUUAAGAAGAUUUCUUAUACAUACAAAUUGGAAUUAACUUCAUUUAUUGUACUAUAAUUAUCAAGAAAUUGUUACAGUAACAGAUUAAAAUCUAAAAUAUUACAGAAUGGGAUCUGGUGAAGGAAGUGGAGAAGGCAAAGGCAAAGCAGAAUUAUGUCCAGGAAUAUUAUGGGCGAUAUUGUGGUUCCUCAUCUUGUGGUUCCUAGCAUGGCCAGUUGCCUUCUUUAUAGCCUGGCUUUAUGUACUUUUAAUUCCAUUUAGUGCUUGUAUAGAACCAAUCAAAGGUGUAUGUGAAGCCAUUUUAAAAGUAGUAAAUCUUCCUUUGACUUGUGCCGAAAAUAUGAUUGCAAUGAAACCACUGUGUGGAUAAAAACUACUACAUUUUAUACAACUUUUAUACAAUGUAUCUAUUUAUUCAAAUCUAGAAUAUUAGCUUAUUUAUGACAAAAAAAUGUAUAUUUUUGUUUAAGUUGCAACAAAUAUGUUGAUAUUUUGUUUAUAUACUGAUUUUUAUUAAAUUCAAUAUACUUUCUUA